CGGAGGAUCCAAGCGUUAUCCGGAAUCAUUGGGUUUAAAGGGUCCGUAGGCGGUUUAAUAAGUCAGUGGUGAAAUCUGGUCGCUCAACGAUCAAACGGCCAUUGAUACUGUUAGACUUGAAUUAUUGGGAAGUAACUAGAAUAUGUAGUGUAGCGGUGAAAUGCUUAGAUAUUACAUGGAAUACCAAUUGCGAAGGCAGGUUACUACCAGUGGAUUGACGCUGAUGGACGAAAGCGUGGGGGAGCGAACAGGAUUAGAUACCCUGGUAGUCCACGCCGUAAACGAUGGAUACUAGCUGUUCGGAGCAAUCUGAGUGGCUAAGCGAAAGUGAUAAGUAUCCCACCUGGGGAGUACGUUCGCAAGAAUG
Molecule: ribosomal RNA, 367 nt
Filed under: uncultured organism
Description: bacterial SSU rRNA
Rfam family: Bacterial small subunit ribosomal RNA
Source: RNAcentral